Molecule: ribosomal RNA, 2908 nt
Filed under: Paludibacteraceae bacterium
Lineage: Bacteria; Pseudomonadati; Bacteroidota; Bacteroidia; Bacteroidales; Paludibacteraceae
Description: 23S ribosomal RNA
Rfam family: Bacterial large subunit ribosomal RNA
Source: RNAcentral
AAAAAAGCAAAUAAGAGCAAACGGCGAAUGCCUUGGCUCUGGGAGGCGAUGAAGGACGUGAUAAGCUGCGAAAAGCUUGGGGGAGGUGCAAAUAACUGCAGAUCCCGAGAUAUCCGAAUGGGGCAACCCAGCACAGUGAAGCUGUGCUAUCCUGCAUAGCAGGAGGCGAACGUGGGGAACUGAAACAUCUUAGUACCCAUAGGAAAAGAAAACAAAAGUGAUUGCGUAAGUAGUGGCGAGCGAAAGCGUAAUAGCCCAAACCAAUUAUGUUGUCAAGCAUAAUUGGGGUUGUAGGACUGCAAAAUGUUAAUUUAAUACUGAACUAGAACCGUAAUGGAAAAUUGGACCGUAGAGGGUGAUAGUCCCGUACAGGCAAAGUAUUAAAUUGACAGCAGUAUCCUGAGUAGCGCGGGACACGAGGAAUCCUGUGUGAAUCUACCGGGACCAUCCGGUAAGGCUAAAUACUCCCCAGAGACCGAUAGUGAACCAGUACUGUGAAGGAAAGGUGAAAAGCACUUCAAAUAGGAGGGUGAAAUAGAACCUGAAACCGUUUGCUUACAAGCGGUCGGAGCCCCGAGCAAGUCGAGGGGUGACGGCGUGCCUUUUGCAUAAUGAACCUACGAGUUACUGUCAUUGGCAAGGUUAAGCACUUCAGGUGUGGAGCCGAAGCGAAAGCGAGUCUGAACAGGGCGUUAUAGUCAGUGGUAGUAGACGCGAAACCAAGUGAUCUACCCUUGAGCAGACUGAAGUUUGGGUAACGCCAAAUGGAGGGUCGUACCGGUAUACGUUGAAAAGUGUUCGGAUGACUUGAGGGUAGGGGUGAAAGGCCAAUCAAACUUGGAGAUAGCUCGUACUCCCCGAAAUGCAUUUAGGUGCAGCCUUGAUAUUAAGUUUACAGGAGGUAGAGCCACUGAUUGGAUGCGAGGGUUUCAACGCCUGUCAAGUCCAGAUAAACUCCGAAUGCCUGUAAAUGUUUAUCAGGAGUGAGGGCGCGGGUGCUAAGGCCCGUGUCCGAGAGGAGAAGAAUCCAGACCAUCAGCUAAGGUCCCGAAAUACAUGCUAAGUUGAAAAAAACGAGGUCAAACUACACAGACAGCUAGGAUGUUGGCUUGGAAGCAGCCAUUCAUUCAAAGAGUGCGUAACAGCUCACUAGUCGAGUGGUUAGGCGUGGUUAAUAAUCGGGCAUUAAGCAUGUUACCGAAGCUAUGGGAUUUUUAUAAUCGGUAGGGGAGCAUUCCAUUGCAGCAUCGAAGGUGUGAGGUAACUCAUGCUGGAGCGGAUGGAAGAGCAAAUGUAGGUAUAAGUAACGAUAAAGGGGGUGAGAAACCCCCUCGCCGAAAGACUAAGGUUUCCUGAUCAACGAUAAUCGGAUCAGGGUAAGUCGAGGCCUAAGAAGUAGCCGAAAGGCGAAUUCGAAGGAAGAACAGGUUAAUAAUCCUGUACUACUGUAUGAAGCGAUGCGGGGGAAAAGUAGUGACAACUCUGCGACCUGACGGAAUAGGUCGUUGAAGGGUGUAGGUAUUGAGAAGAAUAGGUAAGUCCGUUCUUUGAGCCGAACCUGAUAGUACCGAGCGUACUUGUACAAUCGGAUAAUGAGUGUAAUCAGACUUUCAAGAAAAUCCGCUAAGCAAUAAUUUAUACAGUACUCGUACUGUAAACGGACACACGUAGUUGAGUAGAGCAUACUAAGGCGCUCGAGAGAUUCACAGCUAAGGAACUAGGCAAAAUGGUCCCGUAACUUAGGGAGAAGGGACGCUUCCUCAUGCGAAUGAGAAGCCGCAGAGAAAUGGCCCAGGCGACUGUUUAUCAAAAACACAGGGCUUUGCCAAAAUGAAAAUUGAAGUAUAAGGCCUGACACCUGCCCGGUGCUGGAAGGUUAAGAGGAGAAGUUAGCCUGUUGAAGGCGAAGCUUUGAAUUGAAGCCCCAGUAAACGGCGGCCGUAACUAUAACGGUCCUAAGGUAGCGAAAUUCCUUGUCGGGUAAGUUCCGACCUGCACGAAUGGUGUAACGAUCUGGGCGCUGUCUCAGCUGUGAUCUCGGUGAAAUUGUAGUAUCGGUGAAGAUGCCGAUUACCCGCAACGGGACGGUAAGACCCCGUGAACCUUUACUAUAGCUUUACAUUGGAUUUGGGCAUUUGAUGUGUAGGAUAGGCCGGAGGCUGUGAAGCAGUGGCGCUAGCUGCUGUGGAGCCGUCGUUGAAAUACGGCCCUUCAAGUGUCUGACUUCUAAUCUGGUGGUUAUCAGAGACAGUGUAUGGUGGGUAGUUUGACUGGGGUGGUCGCCUCCAAAAGAGUAACGGAGGCUUCCAAAGGUGCGUUCAGACCGAUUGGUAACCGGUCGUAGAGUGCAAUGGCAUAAGCGCGCUUGACUGAGAGACAAACAAGUCGAACAGGUAGGAAACUAGGGCAUAGUGAUCCGGUGGUUCUGUAUGGAAGGGCCAUCGCUCAAAGGAUAAAAGGUACUCCGGGGAUAACAGGCUGAUCAUUCCCAAGAGCUCAUAUCGACGGGAUGGUUUGGCACCUCGAUGUCGGCUCGUCACAUCCUGGGGCUGGAGAAGGUUCCAAGGGUUGGGCUGUUCGCCCAUUAAAGUGGCACGCGAGCUGGGUUCAGAACGUCGUGAGACAGUUCGGUCCCUAUCUGUUGUGGGCGUAGGAAAUUUGCGGAGGUCUGACACUAGUACGAGAGGACCGUGUUGGACGAACCUCUGGUGUACGGGUUGUUUCGCCAGGAGCACUGCCCGGUAGCUAAGUUCGGUUAGGAUAAGUGCUGAAAGCAUCUAAGCACGAAGCCGGCUUCAAGAUGAGAUUUCCAAUUAAGGGUCGUGGGAGACUACCACGUUGAUAGGUUACAGGUGGAAGGCAGAAAUGCGCGAGCCGAGUAAUACUAAUAACCCAAGAGCUUUUUUGU